This 7565-nucleotide long non-coding RNA is filed under the name Homo sapiens (human). Its description in RNAcentral is "non-protein coding lnc-FNBP1L-2:6". The stretch from base 71 to 150 matches the Rfam family "mir-760 microRNA precursor family". The record is from RNAcentral. Lineage: Eukaryota; Metazoa; Chordata; Mammalia; Primates; Hominidae.
GCAGCUGCGCGGCGUCCUUGGAGGCAGGUGCUGGCGGCAAGACGAGCUCUCGGAGGAUGCUGCGGCGCGGGGCGCGUCGCCCCCCUCAGUCCACCAGAGCCCGGAUACCUCAGAAAUUCGGCUCUGGGUCUGUGGGGAGCGAAAUGCAACCCAAACCCCGUUUUUCGAACCCCGCGCAAAUAAACACGCACAAGCACGCACACAGACGUCGCGCGGCGGCGCUCGCGCGCAGGUCCAGCCGCGGCUGGGUCGGGCGCGGCGGCCGGGCGCGAGGGAAGAGCCCAGGCCCGAGAGGGGUCGCCGCUUACGUCUCGCAGCCCGAGGGGAGGCCGCUCGGCCUCGGCCGCUCACAGGCGCGACGUAAAGGCCCGGCGUCACCGGCCCGGCUUAACGGUGCAACGGCUGGCCUGGGCCUGCAACUCUGGGGUCCCGGCCGGGCUGGAGCGGCCGCCGGAGAGACCUGUUCACUGCAUUCGGUUCUUGCGGUCCUUUCUUAAGCGGCUCGCAGGGUCCCGAGCCCCUCAGCUCCCCGGGCCUCGGUGGCCCAGGGCCCAGCUCAGCCGACUGGGCAGUCGAUGUAGGUCCUGAGAAGAGCGGCGGCGGCGGCGGCGGCGGCGGCGAAGGAAAAGCGACACUGAAGCGAAGGCUCGCGGUUUCGGCCUAAAGGAAAGUGCAGGGGAGGCCCGGGUCUCGGGUGACACCCCCACGCCUUGAGCGGGACUGUGGUUGCGAGGGAGGGACGAGAAAACACGCCUACGCCCUGCGUGCGCUGUGCUGACUACCUCUCCAGCAUGGAGGCUUCCAGAUGAGCAGACACCCGAAUCCCAGCGGGAGCCCGUCAAAAAUGGAGAUUUCUGCCGUCACUCUGGGACUCUUAAUUCGGUCCGUCUGGGGUGGGGCCCAGGAAUCUGCAUUUCUGAUAAGGUCACCCGCUCCCCUCCCCCAUUAUUCCAGUGCAAAGAGGUCCUAGGCCCAGUGCCCAUCAGCUCCUCAAGACAGGAAUUACUAUAUCUUUUUCUGACAACUGUUAACUUUGUACAAGGUUAGCAAAUAAAUCCAGGAAUGAAUGGAAUCUUAAAACUCGUAAAACAACAAUGAAAGGUAAUUCACACAAAAGAUACAAAAUCCAAAAUUGUCAAAAAAGAUACAGGGAAAAGUAAACAUCCAUGUUAUUCCUAUAGUCCAGCCUUGCAAUUCUCUCCACAAGCCAUUAGUGGUAAUGGUUUCUUGGAAAUAUUUUCAGAUUUAUUUUAUGCCCAUAUCAGCAUUUUUAACAUCUUUUGUCAUAAAUAUGUCGUAAAUAACAAUGUUAUUGAUACAUAUCCUUUUAAAAACACAAUGGUAGUAUGCUAUACUGGCUUGUUUUACUUAUGAAUAUAUGUAGAGCUGCCUCGUUCCAUUGUACGUAUGUAUGGUAAUGAUUUAACAGUCCCUAAUAGCUGGACAUUUAGAUUGCCAGUAUUUUCCUAUUACAAACAAUGCAUCAGUGAACAUCCUUGUUCUUUUAUUAUUGUACACAAGUACAGGUACAUCUAUCUGUAGGAUAGAUUCCUAGAAAGUUGAAUUGCUGGUUCAAAGGUUUGUGCGUUCUUAAUCUGUACAUUUUUUAAUAUAUAUUGGCAAAUUGCCCCAUAGAGAUUGUAUCCAUUUUUCUCUCCUUAGCAAUGUGUGAGAGUGCCUGUUUCCCCACAACUCACAAAAGGUGGUUUCUAGCUGUGAUUUUAAUUCGUCUCUUAUAUUGAUUUUUUAAAAUUUGUAUUUAUAUUAUUAUUAUUAUUAUUUGAGACAGGGUCUUGUUCUGUUGCCCAGACUGGAGUGCAGUGGCACUAUCACAGCUCAUUGCACCCUCAACGUCCUGGGCUCAAGCAGUGCUUCCACCUCAGCCUCCCAAAUAGUUGGAAGUACAGGCACAUGCCAACACACCCGGCUAAUUUUAAAAUUUUUUGUAGAGAUGGGGGUCACUCUAUGUUGUCUAGGCUGGUCUUGAACUCCUGGACUCAAGAAAUCCUCCCAUCUUGGCCUCCCUAAGUGCUGGGAUGACAGACAGGAGCUACUACGCCUGGACUGUGUCUUUUAUUAUGAAUCAAGAUGAGUACCUUUCCAUACAGAGAAUAAUUUGUAAUUUUUUUCCUGUGAUUUAUCUGUUCUUGAGUUGUGUUCAUUUUUCUGUGGUAUGAUGGAAAACAGCCCUUUGUGAUAUAUGUUACACUUAUUCUUUUUCAGUCUUUUUGUCGUUUGACUUUGUUUAUGGUAUUUUGUUUUGUUUUUCUGUCUUACAGAAAUUCAUGAUUCAUGUAUUUGGAUUUAUCAGUCUUUUAUGGCUUCUAGGUUUGGGGCCAUAAUACACUCAGAUUAUUAAGUUAUUUCUUUAAUGGCUUUAUUUUUAUGGUUUUGUUUAUCUUUGCUUCAUCUGGAAUGUGUUUUUGUAUAAGGAGUGAAGUGGAAGUUUUGUCCCAAAAUCACUUUUAAUGAACACUCCUUCUUUUCUACACGAUGUCAUUUGAAAUGCCACAUUUAUAAUUUUUUUUUUUGAGACAGAGUCUUGCUCUGUUGCCCAGGCUGGAGUGCAGCGGCACAAAUCUCAGUUCACUGCAACCUCCACCUCCCAGGUUCAAGCAAUUCUCUUGCCUCAGCCUCCUGAGUAGCUGGGAUUACAGGUGCAUGCCACUACGCCCGGCUAAUUUUUGUAUUUUUAGUAGAGACGGGGUUUCGCUAUGUUGGCCAGGCUGGUCUGGAACUCCUGAGCUCAGGCGAUCCAUCUGCCUCUGCCUCCUAAAGUGCUGGGAUUACAGGCAAGAGCCACCACAUCCGGCCCACAUUUAUAAUUUUCUAAAUUCCCACAUGCAUAUGGGUUUCUGGAUUCUCUGCUGCAUAUGGGUUUCUGGAUUCUCUGCUCUAUUCCACUGACUUUUCUGUUAAUUUUGAUUCACCAGAACUGUGCUGUUUUACCAUUUAGUAGGGUCAGUCCUUGUAGGGUCCAGCCCCACAGGGUCAGUGGGUUUUCGCCCCAUGUGUGGAGACGAGAGAUUGUAGAAAUAAAGACACAAGACAAAGAGAUAAAAGACAGCUGGGCCUGCGGGACCACUACCACCAAGAUGCGGAGACCAGUAGUGGCCCGAAAUGCCAGGCUGCGCUGAUAUUUAUUGGAUACAAGACAAAGGGACAGGGUAAGGAGUGUGAGCCAUCUCCAAUGAUAGGUAAGGUCACAUGGGUCACGUGUCCACUGGACAGGGGGCCCUUCCCUGCCUGGAAGCCGAGGCAGAGAGAGAGGGAGAGAGGAGACAGCUUGUGCCAUUAUUUCUGCAUAUCAGAGACUUUUAGUACUCUCAGUAAUUUGCUACUGCUAUCUAAAAGGCAGAGUCAGGUGUACAGGAUGGAACAUGAAAGCAGACUAGGAGCGUGACCAGUGAAGCACAGCAUCACAGGGAGAUGGUUAGGCCUAGUCAGGCCCUCCACAAGAGGUAAAGGAGUAGAGUUGUCUCUAAACUCCCCUGGGGAAAGGGAGACUCCCUUUCCCAGUCUGCUAAGUAGCAGGUGUUUUUCCUGGACAGCGACGCUACCGCUAGACCAUGGUCUGCUUGGCAACGGGCGUCUUCCGAGACGCUGGUGUUACCGCUAGACCAAGGAGCCCUCUGGUGGCCCUGUCUGGGCAUAACAGAAGGCUUGCACUCUUGUCUUCUGGUCACUUCUCACUAUGUCCCCUCAGCUCCUAUCUCUGUAUGGCCUGGUUUUUCCUAGGUUAUGAUUAUAGAGUAAGGAUUAUUAUAAUAUUGGAAUAAAGACUAAUUGCUACAAACUAAUGAUUAAUGAUAUUCAUAUAUAAUAUCUAUGAUCUAUAGUAUAACUAUUCUUAUUUUAUAUAUUUUAUUAUACUGGAACAGCUCAUGCCCUCGGUCUCUUGCCUCAGCACCUAGGUGGCUUGCCACCCACAAGUCCUCUCUUGUUACUCUUUUGUUUUUUUAAACAUUUUUCUACUCAUUCUUGAAUUAUUAUUUUUCCUCAGUGAAUAAUAAUAGCACUUAUUUGGCAUUUGUUAUAUGACAGGUACUAUUCUCAGUGCUCUAUGUAUCUUCAUUUAAUCCUCCUGACAGCCCUACCAGGCAGAUACUAUUAUCCCCUUUCAUGGAAGAGGCAUCUGAGACAGAGAGGUUAAGUAACUUGUGCAAGGAUACACAGCUAAUAAGCAACAAGCCUGGAUGAGAACCCAGAAAGGCUGGGUCUAUGGGUAAAACCACAAUUCCUUAUCAUCUUUUCACAUGAGCUUUAGCUACAGCUAGUCUGGCUCUAAUUUUAGGAGGUAUUUUUGUUGGAGUCAUGUUAUAUUUAUAGAUUAAAAUAGAAUUGGGCCAGGUGCUGUGGCUCAUGUCUGUAAUACCAGCACUUUGGGAGGCCAAGGCAGGUGGAUUACUUGAGGCCAGGAGUUUGAGAUGAGUUUGGCCAACGUGGCGAAACCCCGUCUCUACAAAAAAUAUAAAAAUUAGGUGGGCAUGUUGGCACAUGCCUGUAAUCCCAGCUGCUUGGGAGGCUGAGGCACGAGAAUCGCUUGAACCUGGGAGGUGGAGGUUGCAGUGAGCUGAGAUCGCACCACUGCACUCUAGCCUGGGUGACAGAGCCAGAUGAGAGAGAGAGAGAGAGGGAGGGAGGGAGGGAGGAGAGGGAGGGAGGGAGGAGGGGGAGGGAGAGAGGGAGGGAGGGAGGGAAGAGAGGAGAGAGAGAGAGAAAAUGAGAAUUGAACUAAUUAGGAUGUUGAGUCUUCCUGUGUAAGAGCAGCAGGAGGAAAUAAAGAACAGCUAUGCCUUUUCAUUUUCAGUCCUGUGCUCUUCUGGAGUGUGUUAAAUAUAAAUCUUGAUUUUUUUAACUUUAUUUCCAGAUAGUUUAUCUUUUUUGUUGGAAUCCUUUCCUCCACUAUAUUUUGUAACUGGUUAUUAUUUAUAUAUAAGAAGGCUUUUGAUAUUUUAAAUAAUUUUAUAUCUCAUUAAAUUAUCUUACUAUUUAAAAUAGUUUUUCAGUUCUAAAUCACAAUGAGAUACCACUUCACACCCAGUAGGAAGGCUGUAAUAAAAAAGACGACAAUACAAGCAUUGGCAAGGAUUGGAACCCUCAUUCAUUGCCAGUGGGGAUGUAAAAUGUGUGGCCUCUUUGGAAAACAGUUUGGCAAUUCCUCAAAAAAUUAAAUAUUAGAGUUACCAUAGGACCCAGCAAUUCCACUCCUAGGCAUAUCCCCAAGAGAACUAAAAACAUGUCCACACAAAAAUGUGUAUAGGAAUAUCCAUAACAACAUUAUUUUUGUUGCGGUGGUUGAGACAGGGUCUCGCUGUGUUGUCCACGCUGGAGUGCAGUGGAGUGCAGUGGCAUGAUCACAGCUCACUGCAGCCUCGACCUCCUGAGCUGAAGGGAGCCUCCCAUCUCAGCCUCCCAAGUAGCUGGGACUACAGGCGUGCACCACCAUGCUUGGCUAAUUUUUGUAUUUUUUGUAGAGAAUGGGUUUCACCGUGUUACCCCAGGCUGGUCUCGAACUUCUGGGCUCGAGUGAUUCGCCUGCCUCAACCUUCCAAAGUGCUGGGAUUACAGGUGUGAACCACCAUGCCCGGCUAGCAUUGUUUUUAAUAACCAGAAAGUAAAAAUAAUCCAAAUGUCCAUCAAAUGAUGAUUGGAUACACAAGAUCUGGUAUACCUAUUUGAUGAAAUAUUAUUCAGCAAAAAAAGGAAUGAAGUAGUGAUUCAUGUUACAAUAUUAAUAAGCCUUGAAAACAUGCUAAAUGAAAGAAGCCAAUCACAAAAGACCACAUAUUGUAUGAUUCCAUUUAUAUGAAAUGUCUAAAAUAGGCAAAUCCAUAGAGACAGAAAGUAAAUUAGCGGUUGCCAGGAAUUGGGAAUGGGGAGAAUGUGAAGUGACUGACUGCUAAUGGGUAUGGGGUUUCUUUCUGGGAUGAUGAAAAUGUUCUGGAAGUAGUGGUGAUAGUUGCACAACUGUGAAUAUACAAAAAUCCAUUGUAUUAUACACUUUUCAAAUGGGUGAAUUUUAUGAUAAGUGAGUUAUAUCUCAAUUUAAAAAAGGAAAAAUAGUUUUUCAGUUGACUAAGUUGUGUUAUCUAGAAAUAGCCUCAAAUUAUAAGUUUACUUUUUCCUUUCUAAUUUUUAUGCUUACUAUUAUUUUUCUUGUAAUAGCAUUAGCUAGUACAGUAAUCCAGAAAAUGUUAAAUAAUUUUUCAUGAUAAUGGUGAUAGUGGACUUCUUUGACUUGUUCCUGGUCAUUAUAGAAAUAGAAAUGCUUCUUCACUAAGCAUGAUGCUGGCUUUUGGGGUUGGUGUGGCAUGAGCACACACAUGUUUUAUCACAUUAAGAAAAUACCUAUCCCUAUUUCUUUAUAAUCUAUGGAGAUUUUUCUUUGAUCUCAUAUUGCGUGAUAUAUUAACAGAUUUUGUAAUAUUUAACUCAUUUUACAUUCUUGAAAUGAUCCUACCUGGUUGUGGUGUAUACUUAUUUUAAUAUUCUAACAUUUUACAAUUUUUGCAUAGUUAGAAAAAUUGACAUUUAUUUAUCAUAAAAUGAAUAGCAUGUACAGCAUUGUUUGUAAUGGCUCCCAAAUUGGAAAUAAUCUAGAUGUUCAUCAAUAAUAGUCUGUUUAAAGAAAGUGUGGUAGAGACAUAGAAUUAAAUACAACGCAGACAUUUUAAAAAUGAGAAAUAUCUAUAUAUAUUGCUAUAUCCAAGAAUAUCCAAGAUUAUGUGAAAAAAGAAGAUAUGCAGAUGAAUAUUUUAAAUGAGAUUCCAUUUGUGUUAAAUAAUGCCCAUAGUAACAGUAGAAAUUAUGUAUGUUUACUCCUAUCACUGUGCAUGCAUAGAUGAUUUCCCGAAAGAUAUUCAAACAAUUAACAGUGGUUACUUUAGGGUAAUGCUGGUUUGGGGGAAGCAGUGGUAUGAAGGGAGGGAGCAUUCCUUUUUACUGUAUACCUGUAUGUAAUGUUUCAGGUUUUUUCUUAAUAAGCCAUCUUACCUUUAUAAUAAAAAGUUAAUUUUUAAAAAGUUAAAGGUCGGCCAGUUGCGGUGGCUCAUGCCUGUAAUCCCGGCACUUUGGGAGGCCGAGGCGGGUGGGAUCACCUAAGGUCGGGAGUUUGAGACCAGCCUGACCAACAUGGAGAAACCCCGUCUCUACUAAAAAUACAAAAUUAGCUGGGCGUGGUGGCGCAUACCUGUAAUCCCAGCUACUCGGGACACUGAGACAGGAGAAUCGUUUGAACCCAGGAAGUGGAGGUUGCAGUGAGCCAAGAAUGCACCACUGCACUCCAGCCUGGGCAACAAGAGCAAAACUCUGUCUCAAAAAAAAAAAAAAUUUUUUUUUAAUGCUAAAGAGGAAGGAAAAAAGAGUACCUACGUGUUCCUGGAUCACCUUCACACAGGUAGCUCUAAUACUGCUUAUCCAUUAAAGAUUUCUCAAACUUGGUUUUUAAAAAACAUUUAUUGACCCCUUAUGCUCUACUAUAUGCCUGAUUUCAGUGAUUAAUAAGCCCAUUAGGAGCCCAUCUGUUAAGCAUCUCUAGGAACUCCUCCUGAUACUAUUGGAGA